Molecule: ribosomal RNA, 497 nt
Filed under: uncultured bacterium
Lineage: Bacteria
Description: partial 16S ribosomal RNA
Rfam family: Bacterial small subunit ribosomal RNA
Source: RNAcentral
GAUGAACGCUGGCGGCGUGCCUAACACAUGCAAGUCGAACGAACAGACGAGACGCUUGCCUCUCUGAUGUUAGAGGCGGUCGGGAGUGGAACACGUGGAUAAACCACCUAUAAGACUGGGAUAAACUCGAGAAACCGUAACUAAAACCGGAGAAUCUUCUGAACCACAAGGAGCAAAAGUAAAAGACGGCCUUGCUGCCUCUACUAGCUGAUUCCGGGCUGUAUUAGCUAGUUGGUAAGGUAACCGCUUACCAAGGCAACGAUUAAUAGACGAACUGAGAGGAUGAUCGGCCACACUGGAACUAAGACAAGGUCCAGACUACUACGGGAAGCCGCAGUAGGGAAUCUGACACAAGGGGCGAAAGCCUGACGGAGCAAAGCAGCGUGAGUGAUGAAGGUCUUCGGCUCGUAAACCUAUGUUAUCGGGGAAGAACAUAUUUGAGAUUACCUGUGCACAGCUUGACGGUACCUAGUAAGAACGCAACGGCUAACUACGUG